RNAcentral lists this long non-coding RNA (1010 nucleotides) under Equus caballus (horse). RNAcentral describes it as "lncRNA (ENSECAG00000053217.1)". Lineage: Eukaryota; Metazoa; Chordata; Mammalia; Perissodactyla; Equidae. The record is from RNAcentral.
GUUUAUACAGAUUACGUAUUGGCCAUAAACAAUUUUUAUAAAGUCUUGAUAUAUAUGAUCACUUAAUAAUUUGGCUUACAAGUUUGGCAGUUAUUAAGAGCACACUGAGGACUACUUUUCCAGAAACUAUAAGCAAGUUACUGCACACUUCUCUUUCAAGAUUAGUAACAUUCCUGUCAUAUUUAAUUUCUUGGUCAGCUCUUCUUAGAAGUCUCCAGAGAAACACUGAAGGUUCAAAUACUGGAUCUGCUCUUACUAGCUGUAUCAUGUUGGGCAAGUUAAGAUGAAUUUUUCUGUGCUUAUUUCCUCAUUAGUAAAAUGAGAAUAACAGUAUCUACUUUAUAAAUUGAAGACUAAAUAAGUUAAUAUAUGUAAAAUGUUUAGAACAGUGCUUUGUAAAUAGGAAUUGCUAUUUAAGUGCUUGCUAUUAUUACUACUCCAAAAGAUGUACAUUUUACUGUUCAGAAUCUUGAUAGAGAGCCCUUUAAACGGUACCUAAAAGAGCCAAUUCCUUGUAAAUCAAAUAUCCACCUUAGUUGCUGUUCCUUCAGAAGAAUAUUUGUAUUCAAGAAAUGUUGCUCUGGUUUUAAAAGCAUUUAUAGUAUUCAAAUGCACACAUUGGCUGUUUGUUUUUGCCCAGCUCUCUGGUAGUAAGAAAUGUUCAUUUAGAUCAAAUCCUGAAAUGUUCCUUUUCAGUACUAUGCCCCAUCAUUAGGGCAAGCUGGUGCAGCAGCUCUAACACUUCCUAACUUGCCUUCUCCCAGACACUGGAGGGGCUCAAGCAAGGUACUCUAGGAUCCAUCACACUCUCUAUCUCAGUUUUACUCGUAGGAUUUUCUCCCUCAGUCAGUCACUCAACAAACUAAUUUUGAGCACCUUUAGCUAGUAGGUGUUUCAUGUUAAAUGUUAAAUUUACUGAUCUCAGAGCAACCCCAAGAAGACAGUGGCAUCUCCAUUUUAUUCACAGACUCUCACUGCUUAAGAAACUUGCUCACGGUCAUAGAGUGUCU